GCUAGCGGCAGGCUUAACACAUGCAAGUCGAGGGGUAACAGGGUGCUUGCACCGCUGACGACCGGCGCACGGGUGCGUAACGCGUAUACAAUCUACCUUAUAGAGGGGGAUAGCCCAGAGAAAUUUGGAUUAAUACCCCAUAGUAUUUAGAGACAGCAUUGUCUUUUGAUUAAACAUUUAUGGCUAUAAGAUGAGUAUGCGUCCUAUUAGUUAGUUGGUAAGGUAACGGCUUACCAAGACCGCGAUAGGUAGGGGUCCUGAGAGGGAGAUCCCCCACACUGGUACUGAGACACGGACCAGACUCCUACGGGAGGCAGCAGUGAGGAAUAUUGGACAAUGGGCGAGAGCCUGAUCCAGCCAUGCCGCGUGCAGGAAGACGGCCCUAUGGGUUGUAAACUGCUUUUAUACGGGAAGAAACACUCUGACGUGUCAGAGCUUGACGGUACCGUAAGAAUAAGGAUCGGCUAACUCCGUGCCAGCAGCCGCGGUAAUACGGAGGAUCCAAGCGUUAUCCGGAAUCAUUGGGUUUAAAGGGUCCGUAGGCGGGACAAUAAGUCAGCGGUGAAAGUCUGUGGCUCAACCAUAGAAUUGCCAUUGAUACUGUUGUUCUUGAGUGUUUAUGAAGUGGUUGGAAUAUGUAGUGUAGCGGUGAAAUGCAUAGAUAUUACAUAGAACACCGAUUGCGAAGGCAGAUCACUAAUAAAAUACUGACGCUGAUGGACGAAAGCGUAGGUAGCGAACAGGAUUAGAUACCCUGGUAGUCUACGCCGUAAACGAUGGUUACUAGCUGUUCGGCUUCGGCUGAGUGGCUAAGCGAAAGUGAUAAGUAACCCACCUGGGGAGUACGUUCGCAAGAAUGAAACUCAAAGGAAUUGACGGGGGCCCGCACAAGCGGUGGAGCAUGUGGUUUAAUUCGAUGAUACGCGAGGAACCUUACCAGGGCUUAAAUGUAGAUUGACAGGGGUGGAAACACCUUUUCCUUCGGGCAAUUUACAAGGUGCUGCAUGGUUGUCGUCAGCUCGUGCCGUGAGGUGUCAGGUUAAGUCCUAUAACGAGCGCAACCCCUGUGGUUAGUUGCCAGCGAGUAAUGUCGGGAACUCUAACCAGACUGCCAGUGCAAACUGUGAGGAAGGUGGGGAUGACGUCAAAUCAUCACGGCCCUUACGUCCUGGGCCACACACGUGCUACAAUGGUAGGGACAGAGAGCAGCCACUGGGUGACCAGGAGCGAAUCUACAAACCCUAUCUCAGUUCGGAUCGGAGUCUGCAACUCGACUCCGUGAAGCUGGAAUCGCUAGUAAUCGCAUAUCAGCCAUGAUGCGGUGAAUACGUUCCCGGGCCUUGUACACACCGCCCGUCAAGCCAUGGAAGCUGGGGGUACCUGAAGUCGGUCACCGCAAGGAGCCGCCUAGGGUA
RNAcentral lists this ribosomal RNA (1415 nucleotides) under Gillisia sp. NP17. RNAcentral describes it as "16S ribosomal RNA". It matches the Rfam family "Bacterial small subunit ribosomal RNA". The record is from RNAcentral. Lineage: Bacteria; Pseudomonadati; Bacteroidota; Flavobacteriia; Flavobacteriales; Flavobacteriaceae.